GUGGGUAUAGCUCAGUGGUGGAGCUCGUGCUUAGCAUGCACAAGGUCCUGGGUUCCAUACCUAGUACCUACA
This 72-nucleotide transfer RNA is filed under the name Camelus bactrianus (Bactrian camel). It matches the Rfam family "tRNA". From Rfam's summary of the family: Transfer RNA (tRNA) molecules are approximately 80 nucleotides in length. Their secondary structure includes four short double-helical elements and three loops (D, anti-codon, and T loops). Further hydrogen bonds mediate the characteristic L-shaped molecular structure. tRNAs have two regions of fundamental functional importance: the anti-codon, which is responsible for specific mRNA codon recognition, and the 3' end, to which the tRNAs corresponding amino acid is attached (by aminoacyl-tRNA synthetases). tRNAs cope with the degeneracy of the genetic code in two manners: having more than one tRNA (with a specific anti-codon) for a particular amino acid; and 'wobble' base-pairing, i.e. permitting non-standard base-pairing at the 3rd anti-codon position. Lineage: Eukaryota; Metazoa; Chordata; Mammalia; Artiodactyla; Camelidae. The record is from Rfam by way of RNAcentral. RNAcentral also lists the same sequence under 1 other name.